CAGUCGCCGCUGUAAUACAGAGGGUGCAAGCGUUAAUCGGAAUUACUGGGCGUAAAGCGCGCGUAGGUGGUUUGUUAAGUUGGAUGUGAAAUCCCCGGGCUCAACCUGGGAACUGCAUCCAAAACUGGCAAGCUAGAGUAUGGUAGAGGGUGGUGGAAUUUCCUGUGUAGCGGUGAAAUGCGUAGAUAUAGGAAGGAACACCAGUGGCGAAGGCGACCACCUGGACUGAUACUGACACUGAGGUGCGAAAGCGUGGGGAGCAAACAGGAUUAGAGACCCCAGUAGUCCCUGUCUCUUAUAU
This 301-nucleotide ribosomal RNA is filed under the name uncultured bacterium. RNAcentral describes it as "partial 16S ribosomal RNA". It matches the Rfam family "Bacterial small subunit ribosomal RNA", at positions 509 to 809 of the family's 1533-position model. The record is from RNAcentral.